GAAACUUAAAGGAAUUGACGGGGCCGCACAAGCGGUGGAGCAUGUGGUUUAAUUCGACGCAACGCGAAGAACCUUACCAGGGCUUGACAUCCCCUGACCGCGUAUGAAAGUACGUUUUCACCCUCGGGUGACAGGGAGACAGGUGGUGCAUGGUUGUCGUCAGCUCGUGUCGUGAGAUGUUGGGUUAAGUCCCGCAACGAGCGCAACCCCUACGUUUAGUUGCUAACGCGUGAAGGCGAGCACUCUAGACGAACUGCCGUUGACAAAACGGAGGAAGGUGGGAUGACGUCAAAUCAUCAUGCCCCUUAUGUUCUGGGCUACACACGUGCUACAAUGGCCGGUACAGACGGACGCAAAGCCGCGAGGUGGAGCAAAUCCUAAAAAGCCGGUCUCAGUUCGGAUUGCAGGCUGCAAUUCGCCUGCAUGAAGUCGGAAUCGCUAGUAAUCGCAGGUCAGCAUACUGCGGUGAAUACGUUCCCGGGCCUU
This 486-nucleotide ribosomal RNA is filed under the name uncultured Bacillus sp. Its description in RNAcentral is "bacterial SSU rRNA". It matches the Rfam family "Bacterial small subunit ribosomal RNA", at positions 896 to 1382 of the family's 1533-position model. Lineage: Bacteria; Bacillati; Bacillota; Bacilli; Caryophanales; Bacillaceae. The record is from RNAcentral.